Molecule: ribosomal RNA, 403 nt
Filed under: bacterium
Lineage: Bacteria
Also listed under: 1 other name
Description: partial 16S ribosomal RNA
Rfam family: Bacterial small subunit ribosomal RNA
Source: RNAcentral
UGGGGAAUAUUGCACAAUGGAGGGAACUCUGAUGCAGCGACGCCGCGUGAACGAAGAAGGCUUUCGAGUCGUAAAGUUCUUUUAUAUGGGAAGAUAAUGACGGUACCAUAAGAAAAAGCCCCGGCUAACUACGUGCCAGCAGCCGCGGUAAUACGUAGGGGGCUAGCGUUGUCCGGAAUCACUGGGCGUAAAGGGUUCGCAGGCGGAAAUGCAAGUCGGGUGUAAAAGGCAGUAGCUUAACUACUGUAAGCAUUUGAAACUGCAUAUCUUGAGAAGAGUAGAGGUAAGUGGAAUUUUUAGUGUAGCGGUGAAAUGCGUAGAUAUUAAAAAGAAUACCGGUGGCGAAGGCGACUUACUGGGCUCAUUCUGACGCUGAGGAACGAAAGCGUGGGUAGCAAACAGG